AGCAGCCGCGGUAAUUCCAGCUCCAAUAGCGUAUAUUAAAGUUGUUGCAGUUAAAAAGCUCGUAGUUGAAUUUCGGGAUCAAAUUGUUGGUCGUGCCUCGGUACGCACUGGUAUUAUUGGUUCCUACCUUCUGAAGAACCGCGAUGUCAUUAAUUUGGUGUCGUGGGGAAUCAGGACUGUUACUUUAGAAAAAUUAGAGUGUUUAAAGCAGGCUUACGCUUGAAUACAUUAGCAUGGAAUAAUGAAAUAGGACGUUUGAUUCUAUUUUGUUGGUUUCUAGGAUUGACGUAAUGAUUAAUAGGGAUAGUUGGGGGCAUUAGUAUUCAAUUGUCAGAGGUGAAAUUCUUGGAUUUAUUGAAGACUAACUACUGCGAAAGCAUUUGCCAAGGAUGUUUUCAUUAAUCAAGAACGAAAGUUAGGGGAUCGAAGACGAUCAGAUACCGUCGUAGUCUUAACCAUAAACUAUGCCGACUAGGGAUCGGAUGAUGUUAAUUUUUAAUGAC
Molecule: ribosomal RNA, 503 nt
Filed under: uncultured Glomus
Lineage: Eukaryota; Fungi; Glomeromycota; Glomeromycetes; Glomerales; Glomeraceae
Description: SSU rRNA
Rfam family: Eukaryotic small subunit ribosomal RNA
Source: RNAcentral